GGGGAAGAACGGCACUUGGUCUUGGAGCGUUGCUCAGAUACAUCAAUACCUUCCAUUCUCAUUAGUGAUCUCCUUUGGCAGUAUGACGAACUCCAGUCUCCAAGGACUGUAGAUGUGAUAUAUAGAAGAAAAGAAAGUUCAGAAGGGUCAAAGGUAGAAGACACACCAAUACCAAUCAUUAACCUUUCGCUUGAGGAGAGGGAAGAAGCUUAUAUGGCUGCCCGGAAACGGAUUUUUUCUGUUGAUCAAGGCGAGACUAGACAAUGUAUGAAGGAUAGACCUCAAAAAGAUCCUACGGUUGCUCGUCGUAUGAUUGCACAUGCACUUGGCCAAAGAACCAGGCCAGC
This 347-nucleotide unclassified non-coding RNA is filed under the name Hevea brasiliensis (rubber tree). Lineage: Eukaryota; Viridiplantae; Streptophyta; Magnoliopsida; Malpighiales; Euphorbiaceae. The record is from RNAcentral.